GAAGCGGUGGGCCCUUUGAUGCCCGAGCCAAUACCGCGGGAUCUUGUCGCCGAUGCCGGCCUCGCUGCAGCCCAUAUCGUCGAGUUUCUUCUCGCCCAUCGCGAAUUUUGAUCCGGGCACGCUCAGCUUCUUGAAUGAUUUAAGCCCAGGGCCUAAUUUUGGGCCGGGUAGUAAUUUUCUGUCGACCCCGACGAUUAUUUCGCCUGGGUCGUACUGGGAUUUGUUCGGCGACUUACCUUAGCCGGCGUUGGAAAAUUCGUCAAUGCGCGUUUAAUUCGGUGGGGCCCGGCCCUGCUGUAUUUUUUUUGGCCGGCUUUGUUGUCACAGAGUCAUCCUCUUGAUCCUAGAGAGAUCACUUUCUUCUUCGUCUACAUCGAGCCGCCGAGGGGGCUUUUGCUGAAAACUUUGUGCUUCCUCUCGACGGCCUUAACAUCGGAUUCAACAUUGACUCACUGUUCCAUCACUCACAACCUCCGCUCACAGCAAAACCCUAGCCUAAUUUCACUGCUUUGCAAAAUAGUGCUCUUGACCCAUGAGUACCAUUUGUUGGCAGCGGUACUGUUCAUCGAUGACACUGUUCGUUCGCUUUGCAGUUCGUCAUGGUUACUAUUUAUUGUAGAUGUUGUCUAUUGGUACUGUUCAUCACGGUACUGUUUGGCGCGAGCUGUUGUUCAUCUGGACCGCCGAUCACCUACAUACCCUAAAUCCUCACCUUCGAUGAUUGAUCUCACCUAGAUCUCGACGAUUCGAUCUCGUCCUCGUUGUCGACCACUGCCUCCUUGUCAAUCUUUGCUCGAGCCCAAACUCCACCAUUUGUUUGACAAAUCCUUAAAGAAGGGUUAAUUGUUGUAAGAUCCUUCAAGAAAGGAUCAUUUAUUAUUGGUUCAUAGAAAGAAUCAUUUGUUAUUGGAUCCUUAAAAAACAGAUCAUUUGUUGUUGAA
Long non-coding RNA from Asparagus officinalis (garden asparagus), 941 nucleotides. RefSeq lists it as uncharacterized. The record is from RefSeq and is a predicted model, not a curated record. The transcript has 2 exons. Lineage: Eukaryota; Viridiplantae; Streptophyta; Magnoliopsida; Asparagales; Asparagaceae.